AUUGAACGCUGGCGGCAUGCCUUACACAUGCAAGUCGAACGGUAACAGGUCUUCGGAUGCUGACGAGUGGCGAACGGGUGAGUAAUACAUCGGAACGUGCCUAGUAGUGGGGGAUAACUACUCGAAAGAGUGGCUAAUACCGCAUGAGAUCUACGGAUGAAAGCAGGGGAUCGCAAGACCUUGUGCUACUAGAGCGGCCGAUGGCAGAUUAGGUAGUUGGUGGGAUAAAGGCUUACCAAGUCGACGAUCUGUAGCUGGUCUGAGAGGACGAUCAGCCACACUGGGACGGAGACACGGCCCAGACUCCUACGGGAGGCAGCAGUGGGGAAAUUUGGACGAUGGGCGAAAGCCUGAUCCAGCAAUGCCGCGUGCAGGAUGAAGGCCUUCGGGUUGUAAACUGCAUUUGUACGGAACGAAAAGCCCCGGGUUAAUACCCUGGGGUCAUGACGGUACCGUAAGAAUAAGCACCGGCUAACUACGUGCCAGCCGCCGCGGUAA
Molecule: ribosomal RNA, 498 nt
Filed under: uncultured bacterium
Lineage: Bacteria
Description: partial 16S ribosomal RNA
Rfam family: Bacterial small subunit ribosomal RNA
Source: RNAcentral